RNAcentral lists this ribosomal RNA (238 nucleotides) under uncultured Staphylococcus sp. RNAcentral's name for it is "partial 16S ribosomal RNA". It matches the Rfam family "Bacterial small subunit ribosomal RNA", at positions 105 to 334 of the family's 1533-position model. Lineage: Bacteria; Bacillati; Bacillota; Bacilli; Caryophanales; Staphylococcaceae. The record is from RNAcentral.
CGUGGUGAGUAACACGUGGAUAACCUACCUAUAAGACUGGGAUAACUUCGGGAAACCGGAGCUAAUACCGGAUAAUAUAUUGAACCGCAUGGUUCAAUAGUGAAAGACGGUUUUGCUGUCACUUAUAGAUGGAUCCGCGCCGCAUUAGCUAGUUGGUAAGGUAACGGCUUACCAAGGCAACGAUGCGUAGCCGACCUGAGAGGGUGAUCGGCCACACUGGAACUGAGACAAGGUCCAG